Long non-coding RNA from Phragmites australis (common reed), 685 nucleotides. RefSeq lists it as uncharacterized. NCBI's taxonomy places the organism in Eukaryota, Viridiplantae, Streptophyta, Magnoliopsida, Poales, Poaceae. The record is from RefSeq and is a predicted model, not a curated record. The transcript has 3 exons.
UAGCUAGGUCCCAACUUCCAAGUAGGCAGCAGCCCCGCCGCCCGGCUGCUAGCUGUCGCUCUCGCCACAGGACACGGCGGCGUGCCGGCGUCAACGGUGUCCCCGGCCACACACGGUCACGGAGAGCCGCCGCAGCAACGAGCUCGACAGGCAGCGCGUCUCUGCUCUAUGCAUGGCGCUGCCGCGGCUGAAAUGAGAUGUCUUCGCCUUGAUCGUCUCUCGCACACAUGCAUCUUGAUGCUUCUGGCCUCGCCGGCGAUGGGCUCCGGUGGCGACUGGCGAGGAUCCUCACGGCGGUGGGGCUCCGGUGAGAGAUCCGCCUCCACGAGAUAUAUGUUGCUGAUGAGGGAUGCCUGGGAUUGUCAAUUUGGUGGACAAGGACAUGACCUGGGCUGUCUGUCUAAUGCAGCUUGAAUUGAACUGAGCUGGUCUCCCAUCUGAAGAAGAACAUGCUCACCUACCAAAGAGUGGGCAGAGAAUUUUCAUCCUAUUGCCGCGAGCUACAGUUUAGGAUAUGAGAAAUUUUCGUUUUUUCCGAUUACCACCAGAAUUGAGUCUUUUCCUGUAAAAUUUCACUGCUGAACGCAGAGGCCUCUUGAUGAAUCAAACGCGAGCAACACUGAAGUAUUGAACAGUAUAAAAGUAACUCUUGAUGGACCCUUUGUUUUAAGAAGAAUCACCAUUU